Molecule: ribosomal RNA, 381 nt
Filed under: uncultured bacterium
Lineage: Bacteria
Description: bacterial SSU rRNA
Rfam family: Bacterial small subunit ribosomal RNA
Source: RNAcentral
UACGUAGGGUGCGAGCGUUAAUCGGAAUUACUGGGCGUAAAGCGUGCGCAGGUGGUUUGUUAGGUCAGAUGUGAAAGCCCCGAGCUUAACUUGGGAACUGCGUUUGAAACUGGCAAGCUAGAGUCUGUCAGAGGGGGGUAGAAUUCCACGUGUAGCAGUGAAAUGCGUAGAGAUGUGGAGGAAUACCAAUGGCGAAGGCAGCCCCCUGGGAUAAGACUGACGCUCAUGCACGAAAGCGUGGGGGGAGCAAACAGGAUUAGAUACCCUGGUAGUCCACGCCCUAAACGAUGUCAACUGGUUGUUGGGCAACUUGAUUGUUCAGUAACGAAGCUAACGCGAGAAGUUGACCGCCUGGGGAGUACGGUCGCAAGAUUAAAACUC